AUCCUUUUGUAGUUCAUAAGCAUGAUGAUUGGGUUUUCACACUCAUGUGUGAGAUGUGCCUACCUCAGACCUUGCUAUGACAUUAGCAUAUUACCCAUCUGACA
This 104-nucleotide small nucleolar RNA is filed under the name Propithecus coquereli (Coquerel's sifaka). Its description in RNAcentral is "Small nucleolar RNA U13 (ENSPCOG00000007909.1)". It matches the Rfam family "Small nucleolar RNA U13". Lineage: Eukaryota; Metazoa; Chordata; Mammalia; Primates; Indriidae. The record is from Rfam by way of RNAcentral.